Long non-coding RNA from Penaeus indicus, 250 nucleotides. RefSeq lists it as uncharacterized. The record is from RefSeq and is a predicted model, not a curated record. The transcript is spliced from 3 exons. Lineage: Eukaryota; Metazoa; Arthropoda; Malacostraca; Decapoda; Penaeidae.
GCCCGAUGUAAACACGAGAGGAGAAGGGACACGAAGGAGAAAUAUAUGUAAAUCGGAUAAAUUGGGAGAAGAAGAGACAUUGAUAGCCAGAGUGAUUGCGUAAAUUGAAGAAGUUGACUGGGAGAAAGACCUGCCGUAACAACCCAUCCGCUGGUUACACCUGAAAACCCUCUCCAAAAAUUGGCGGAUUCAUUGCAUAGUAUGGAUAGUACAGCCCUGAAAUGCUCAUGCCUUGAGAUAUACAAUGAGU